GGCAAGCACAUCCGUCAAUCAUCCUGUGUAUCACUAAGAUUUUGUUACACAGGCACCCAUGACAGAGAGGAGACAAAAUAAGUGAAAGUCAUCUCGGUCCAUUGAGACGUCCUACCUACCAAUCUAUCCUCAGUAACCCCCACCCAGGUUACAGUCUUGUUUCUAGGACACACUUCUAUAUUUAUGAAAUUACAAACUCAGGGUUAUGGAAUCCCAAGUGUCCAGAUGUGGAGCCAGUAGGAAACAGAUUGCUUAUGCAGACCUUAUUUCAAUGCCAGCCAUGAAGGUGCCCUCUUUUGGGUAAUGUGUAGUGUGCAAUACAUCCGUGAGGAUGUGUCAGAGAAAUCAGGAAAACUUAGAAGAGUUUGAGAUAAGUUUCCACCCUGAGGCGUCAGGAAUUGCCAUUCGCUAUGCUACAACCACAUCCAACUAUUAGAUGCGGACAAAAACAGUGAUUGAGAGCUGUGGGAUGUGCUUGCUAUGUACUCCCUUACAUUUUGUUUGUAUCUUGGUGAUAGAUGAACCUGGAGUAAAGUAAAGCCGCACCAUAUGUACCAGCUGAGGCCGUACAAUAACACAUUUUUCUGCUAAAUUGCUCAGAAAGACAAACAGCUGGACUAAAUCUGCUCUCCCCCCUCUUUUCUGGAUUUCUCUGACAUCUAAACAGCUCAGGGUGUUCACAAGACAGCUCCCCACUUUGACGUCCAUUUCAUCUCUUUGAGCUGAGGAUUUUUCUUUUUCUUUUUUUUUUUAAAUGGUGAUUCAUGAAACAGUGAAAGUUGAAAGAGGCUUUUGAACAAAAACACAGAAGUUGUCCAAAGAUGUAUAGAGUGUAAGGAACAGGCCCACUGUACUGACACAUGAAUUGAACAAAAUCUGCAAACACAUUUCCAGAAAAGACGAUAAUUCUGUUGUUUAUAAUUUAUCUAAUGGUGAAGAUCUUGUGCCCAGUUGGGACCUGGUACUUGACCACUCAAUGAAACACUGCAUGGCAGGAGGAAGAUGAGAAGAAGAUGUGCCAUCUUAAUCAUUUAGAACACACACACACACACACACACACACUAAAGGUGGUCAGGUACUUCAAAAAAGCCCUUCAUCAUCAAAAACUUUAGACUUGUAGCAAUUUCUUUCUUCUGUUAUUCUGUGCAGAACUCUAUGAAUUACCUAAACAUAUGUUGGGGCUCCAACUAACCAUCACUGUCAUUACAUUAAUUCUUUUUUCUUUUCCUGAUUAAUUAUUUUUUUUUAUUCUUUUCCUAAUUAAUCAUUUCUCUACAAAAUGUUAGAAAAUAAUUAAAAAUAUCCAUUAUAAUUUCAGCAGCCCAAAUUGCUUGUUUAUUCAACCAACACUCUGACGCACAAAGAUAUUCUAUUUACAAUCAUAUGAAAGUAGAAAAGCAGCCGUUCCUCACAUUUGAGAAGCUGGCACCAGAGAAUGGAUUACUGAGCUAAUUGAUUAAUCAGCUAAUCCUUACUGUUCUAUUUGUGAUGUCUGAUACGUUGGCAGUAUCUUGGGCCAAAUGUUAAUUGUAAAUACAAACUUCAGUGAUUAGAAGUUUUAUUCUGAGAAAGAAGUACAAGAAAAAAUUUGAAUUGUAAAUUGAGGCUUGAAGUGUAUUUAAGAGUGGAAGGUUGGCAAAUUAUCAAGGAGAGCCACGAUUAUGUGCUGGCCUUGCUUUGAUAUAAUCAAUAUGCCUGUAAAGUAGAUGCAACUUUGAAAAUAAAUCUUAAGAAUGAAUUAGGACCGAGCUGUAACACAAUGGAAAAGGACAGGAAGUAACCCCAAAGGACAAAAGCUUAACAUACAAUAUAUCCAGCAAUCCUCCCAUCAGUGGAAACACACACCUCUCCAUCAGACAGUGUAUCGUGUAUGUUAACACAAUCCACUGUAGCUGCACAGUGCUCAAGUUCCUGUCUUUCUAUCAGAGAGUGACAGCACAUGUCCGAAACAGAGGACAAUCAAUCCAUCAUCUCACAUCACUGCACCAUGAUGAUACUGCUGGUAGACACAGAGACACAGAGGAUAUGUCACUUCGUAAACCUCAAGCGCAAAGUGCUUUUGUUGUUGCAGUGAGUGGCUUAAGGACACAUCUUAAAAUAAGGACUUCAGGAAAGGAAAAAAAAAAAAAAAA
Larimichthys crocea (large yellow croaker) is the source of this 2132-nucleotide long non-coding RNA. RefSeq lists it as uncharacterized. The transcript is spliced from 2 exons. The record is from RefSeq and is a predicted model, not a curated record. Lineage: Eukaryota; Metazoa; Chordata; Actinopteri; Sciaenidae.